ACUCGAUCUCAAAUCAAGUAAGACUACCCGCUGAACUUAAGCAUAUCAUA
This 50-nucleotide ribosomal RNA is filed under the name fungal endophyte. RNAcentral describes it as "partial 28S ribosomal RNA". Lineage: Eukaryota; Fungi. The record is from RNAcentral.